CCGUUCCCGGGCCUUGUACACACCGCCCGUCACACCACGAAAGUUGGCAACACCCGAAGCCGGUGGGCUAACCCGCAAGGGGGGCAGCCGUCGAAGGUGGGGUCAGCGAUUGGGGUG
This 117-nucleotide ribosomal RNA is filed under the name uncultured bacterium. RNAcentral describes it as "partial 16S ribosomal RNA". It matches the Rfam family "Bacterial small subunit ribosomal RNA", at positions 1368 to 1482 of the family's 1533-position model. The record is from RNAcentral.